UAGGGAAUCUUCCGCAAUGGACGCAAGUCUGACGGAGCAACGCCGCGUGAGUGAAGAAGGAUUUCGGUUCGUAAAACUCUGUUGUUAGAGAAGAACAGCGCAUAGAGUAACUGUUAUGCGUGUGACGGUAUCUAACCAGAAAGCCACGGCUAACUACGUGCCAGCAGCCGCGGUAAUACGUAGGUGGCAAGCGUUGUCCGGAUUUAUUGGGCGUAAAGCGAGCGCAGGCGGUCAAUUAAGUCUGAUGUGAAAGCCCCCGGCUCAACCGGGGAGGGUCAUUGGAAACUGGUUGACUUGAGUGCAGAAGAGGAGAGUGGAAUUCCAUGUGUAGCGGUGAAAUGCGUAGAUAUAUGGAGGAACACCAGUGGCGAAGGAGACUCUCUGGUCUGUAACUGACGCUGAGGUUCGAAAGAGUGGGUAGCAAACAGG
Molecule: ribosomal RNA, 429 nt
Filed under: Bacteroidota bacterium
Lineage: Bacteria; Pseudomonadati; Bacteroidota
Description: Bacteroidetes bacterium partial 16S ribosomal RNA
Rfam family: Bacterial small subunit ribosomal RNA
Source: RNAcentral